CAGAGGGACAAGACAAGGACAGAGAGACAACAGGGAGAGAGAUGACAAACAGAAAUACAAAAGAGACAGAUGACAAAGACAGGAAGAAGAAGGGAGAAGGAAGAAAAGAGGAAGGAGAAAGAAGGCAGGAGCUGGAACAGGGAUCAUAACAUUUGGGACUCCAUACGUUUCUGAGAGAGGCGAUGGGAACGUACGUGCAAAGAAAUCAACGAUAGAAAUAAAUAAAUUGACAGAAUAGAAUAACUACAUAGCAACACUCCAGGCGCGUGCGUGCGUCUUUUAAAGCCAUGGCAACGGACGGUGACGCGCAGUAGAGCGAGUAUUGAAGGUUAGCAGAACUUUAUUCGGUCUCGUUUUGGACUUGGACUUUGAGGACUUUUUCAAAACGACCUGAACGCUGGAAAGCCAAACUCUUUGGAGAUUUGAACGCUGGGAAGCAUCUAAAAAAAAAAACAAAAAAAAAACAACAACUUUGCUGAAGAAAAAACUGGAAGAGAAGAAGAAGACGCUAGUUGGAGAAGCACCUGCUGCUCAGACCUGGCGACCGUUAGCAGAGUCGUCAGUGCCACAUCUGGACACUGGUCCUGGUUCACAACCUGAGGCGGCCGGACACUUCGAGGGAAAUGCUGCUGAGGUUCCCAGUUUGCAGCUUACUGGGAGACAGCUCGCAGGCUUUCCAAGCUCAGAGAUCUCUACCUCGCAGACUGCAAGCUCACUGAUGACAGCGCUGAUGUUGGAUGAAUUCAGGACCCAAAAGGAGCAAAAGAGAUGAGACACAGCAAGGAUGCAUUGCCAUCCCCUAAACCCCAAGCAAUUUGAAUAAGAAACAUAGACUAGAAAAAAAAAAUCUAAAAAAAGAGUUGAGUGACAGCCCAGGAUGAGAGAAGAAAUGAUGGAAACAGAUCCAAGACCAGCACAUGACAUGUCUGACAGCUCAACUAAUGCAAGAGCUCUAUCCAAAAAGAAGGAUCAGAUCAGGACAAGGAACCACAUGAGAGGCAGCAGCAGGAUGUGAAUCCACAUUAUGAGAAAUGAAGAAAAACGUAUUAUAGUGGUGUGAAAGCAUUAGAAGGAUUGGAGGUCACCACUGUGAGGUGACGGCACUAACCAGAGCAUCUAAGAUUUUCUUUUUACUUAUAAAAUCUAAGAAAACAAAGAAACAGUGAGAGGAACUCCAGUAUGACCUAAGAUUGAAGAAUCACCCCCGAGAUGAGACGACGAACCGCUCUGAGAUGAGAUGAUGAACAGCCCCAAACAGAACAAGAAUAGGUAGGAAUCCAAACUAAAAUGUUUCUUCUGCUGCUGAUGAAGUUGUUCAGAAGACAUUCUGUCAUGUCACAGUAGUGACAGCUUCGAAAGAUUCAUAUCACAGCACAGGUGUCAUUUCAGGCAAAAUCUGUGAAAUCAAUCAAACUUUAUUUAUAUAGCACUUUUCAUACAGUGAAAAUGCAACACAAAGUGCUUUGCAACAUUUAAAAACAUUAAAAACAAGGAAACCCAUCCCUCCCUCCAUAUAUACAUAUAUGCACACAACUACAGACACACACACACACACUCUCACGCACAUACACACACACUCUCACCUCACUCUCACUUUAUGUUUAAGCUGUUCUUUUUUUAAAGCAAAUAACCGUAAGCAGGCUUACAAUAAAACUGUUUACAAUAACAACAACUUUAAACUAUUGAAUUUACAGUUGCCAGAAAGCAUUUGUUAAACAUUGUCAUUAUUUUUAGGUGAAGUUCUGGCAGCCGGAGCUGUUGGUAUUUUACAAUAAAGACCUCAUUUGUGGAGGCUGUAAAAUGUAAAUCUUUAACUUUAUUUGUAAUUAUAGAGCCUUUAUUUUUUGAAGUGUAGGUAACACCUGUGUGACAAUUAUUGUAAUUAUAAAUAUGUGAAGUACACAAAAGACAUUAUUGAGUUUUCUUUAUUUUCUGGUUAUGGCUGUACUGUUUCCAUACAGGUGCAUUACUGUAUGUUGCAGUGUUCUUGUUAUCAUUAUUUGUGCAUUAAUGCUACAUAUUGUAAUAUAAAUGCUCUACUGUAUAACACAUAAGCACAUAGGAGGACUGAUCCAAACCAUCAAGGCUCUAUGAUGGAUUCUUGUACUUUGUUUUACAAAACCUCCAAUUUGUGCAAUUAACACCGGAAUUCAGAGAGAUUGUGCAUUCAAUCCUUAAAUCUACAAUUAGAAAUGAGUGACUGCAUCUGAGAAAUGUUAUCUAGAAGCACCCAACACUGUUCUGUCAUGUGUUUAGCUGCAUCUUCAGUCUCUGCACAUCUGUCUGCUGAUCAUGUUUAGUUAAUACAGUGCAGCAGCGCCCUCUGGAGAUCAGCAGCUGUAGUACAGAAACAUCUGGCCUCAGUAAGCAUGCCAGGCUGGAAGAAACUUAAGUCAAGGCCUGGUUUGGAAAUGGG
Molecule: long non-coding RNA, 2416 nt
Organism: Amphiprion ocellaris (clown anemonefish)
Lineage: Eukaryota; Metazoa; Chordata; Actinopteri; Pomacentridae
Source: Ensembl